UAGGUGAAGGGGACUGGCUAUAACAGCUAGGUGAAGGGGACUGGUUAUAACAGCUAGGUGAAGGGGACUGGUUAUAACAGCUAGGUGAAGGGGACUGGUUAUAACAGCUAGGUGAAGGGGACUGGUUAUAACAACUAGGUGAAGGGGACUGGUUAUAACAACUAGGUGAAGGGGACUGGUUAUAACACCUAGGUGAAGGGGACUGGUUAUAACAGCUAGGUGAAGGGGACUGGUU
This is a long non-coding RNA of Oncorhynchus keta (chum salmon), 235 nucleotides long. RefSeq lists it as uncharacterized. The transcript is spliced from 3 exons. NCBI's taxonomy places the organism in Eukaryota, Metazoa, Chordata, Actinopteri, Salmoniformes, Salmonidae. The record is from RefSeq and is a predicted model, not a curated record.